This 417-nucleotide ribosomal RNA is filed under the name Arachnodes splendidus. RNAcentral describes it as "partial 16S ribosomal RNA". The record is from RNAcentral. Lineage: Eukaryota; Metazoa; Arthropoda; Insecta; Coleoptera; Scarabaeidae.
GGCUUUUUGAUUAUAAUUUAAGGUCUGACCUGCCCUAUGAAUAAUUUAUUUUUAAAUGGCUGCGGUAUUUUGACCGUACAAAGGUAGCAUAAUAAUUAGUUUCUUAAUUGGGAACUGGAAUGAAUGGUCGAACGAGAAAAAGACUGUCUCAAUUUAAUUUAAAUUAGAAUUUUAUUUUUAAGUAAGAAAGCUUAAAUAUUUUUAAAAGACGAGAAGACCCUAUAGAGUUUUAUAUUAAUUAUUAUAGUUGGAAGUUAAAGAAUUGUAGAUUUGAUUAUAGUUGUUAGUAUUUGGUUGGGGCGAUUAAAAAAUUGAAUGAACUUUUUUUAGAUUAAACCAUUGAUUUAUGAAUAGGUGAUCCAUAUUUAAUGAUUAAAAGAUUAAAUUACCUUAGGGAUAACAGCGUUAUUUUUUUUG